Molecule: ribosomal RNA, 497 nt
Filed under: uncultured bacterium
Lineage: Bacteria
Description: partial 16S ribosomal RNA
Rfam family: Bacterial small subunit ribosomal RNA
Source: RNAcentral
GAUGAACGCUGGCGGCGUGCCUAAUACAUGCAGGUCGAGCGAACGGACGAGAAGCUUGCUUCUCUGAUGUUAGCGGCGGACGGGUGAGUAACACGUGGAUAACCUACCUAUAAGACGGGGAUAACUUCGGGAAACCGGAGCUAAUACCGGAGAAUAUUUUGAACCGCAUGGUUCAAAAGUGAAAGGCGGUCUUGCUGUCACUUAUAGAUGGAUCCGCGCUGCAUUAGCUAGUUGGUAAGGUAACGGCUUACCAAGGCAACGAUGCAUAGCCGACCUGAGAGGGUGAUCGGCCACACUGGAACUGAGACACGGUCCAGACUCCUACGGGAGGCAGCAGUAGGGAAUCUUCCGCAAUGGGCGAAAGCCUGACGGAGCAACGCCGCGUGAGUGAUGAAGGUCUUCGGAUCGUAAAACUCUGUUAUUAGGGAAGAACAUAUGUGUAAGUAACUGUGCACAUCUUGACGGUACCUAAUCAGAAAGCCACGGCUAACUACGUG